GUGCCAGACUCCUACGGGAGGCAGCAGUGGGGAAUAUUGCACAAUGGGGGAAACCCUGAUGCAGCAACGCCGCGUGAAGGAAGACGGUUUUCGGAUUGUAAACUUCUGUUCUUAGUGAAGAAUAAUGACGGUAGCUAAGGAGCAAGCCACGGCUAACUACGUGCCAGCAGCCGCGGUAAUACGUAGGGGGCAAGCGUUAUCCGGAUUUACUGGGUGUAAAGGGAGCGUAGACGGCAGCACAAGUCUGGAGUGAAAUCCCGGGGCUUAACCCCGGAACUGCUUUGGAAACUGUGCGGCUGGAGUGCAGGAGGGGUAAGCGGAAUUCCUAGUGUAGCGGUGAAAUGCGUAGAUAUUAGGGGGAACACCGGUGGCGAAGGCGGCUUACUGGACUGUAACUGACGUUGAGGCUCGAAAGCGUGGGGAGCAAACAGGAUUAGAUACCCGGGUAA
Molecule: ribosomal RNA, 449 nt
Filed under: uncultured bacterium
Lineage: Bacteria
Description: bacterial SSU rRNA
Rfam family: Bacterial small subunit ribosomal RNA
Source: RNAcentral